AGAGUUUGAUCCUGGCUCAGAACGAACGCUGGCGGCAGGCCUAACACAUGCAAGUCGAGCGCCCCCGCAAGGGGGAGCGGCGGACGGGUGAGUAACGCGUGGGAAUUUUCCUCAAGGUACGGAACAACUCAGGGAAACUUGGGCUAAUACCGUAUGAUGUCUAGCGACCAAAGAUUUAUCGCCUUGGGAUAAGCCCGCGUCAGAUUAGGUAGUUGGUGGGGUAACGGCCUACCAAGCCUGCGAUCUGUAGCUGGUCUGAGAGGACGAUCAGCCACACUGGGACUGAGACACGGCCCAGACUCCUACGGGAGGCAGCAGUGGGGAAUCUUGCGCAAUGGGCGAAAGCCUGACGCAGCCAUGCCGCGUGAAUGAUGAAGGUCUUAGGAUUGUAAAGUUCUUUCGCUCGUGACGAUGAUGACGGUAACGAGAGA
Molecule: ribosomal RNA, 431 nt
Filed under: uncultured Phenylobacterium sp.
Lineage: Bacteria; Pseudomonadati; Pseudomonadota; Alphaproteobacteria; Caulobacterales; Caulobacteraceae
Description: bacterial SSU rRNA
Rfam family: Bacterial small subunit ribosomal RNA
Source: RNAcentral